Long non-coding RNA from Oncorhynchus keta (chum salmon), 1768 nucleotides. RefSeq lists it as uncharacterized. NCBI's taxonomy places the organism in Eukaryota, Metazoa, Chordata, Actinopteri, Salmoniformes, Salmonidae. The transcript has 3 exons. The record is from RefSeq and is a predicted model, not a curated record.
AGGAGAGGAGUGGAAAGAAGGAGGCAGAGAGGAAUGAGUCAAAGGUAGACGUGGGGAGGUUAAAGUCGCCCAGAACUGUGAGAGGUGAGCCGUCCUCAGGAAAGGAGCUUAUCAAGGCAUCAAGCUCAUUGAUGAACUCUCCGGGGGACCUGGAGGGCGAUAAAUGAUAAGGAUGUUAAGCUUGAAAGGGCUGGUAACUGUGACAGCAUGAAAUUCAAAGGAGGCGAUAGACAGAUGGCAUACCUUCAUAGCACAGAACCAUUACCUCAUCCAAUGGCAUAACUCAAUUGUCAACUCUAGAUACUCCCAUCUAAAGUUAAACCCCUUCUUGACCCCUCUCCUGGACAAACUCACUGAGGAGAGUGAGCCUCUAUGUCAUACACUAUCCCAGGAUAAGUGCAACACCAGAGAGGACGUACAAUGGUUCCAGACACUGCCCUACACCUCCCGCCAAUGCCAAAGGAGGGAGUGACUUGCGCACAGACAUUGUGGAGACAAGUAAUUGGUUCCCCCUUAAUCAUGCCAUCCCUUCAAAAGGUUUAACAGAUACAUUCACAUAUGAAGACAAUGUUCCAUCCUGUCCUCUUCCCUUUCUGAUAUUCUGCAUAGCACCAGGGAUAUGUGAAAGACAAGCCUGACCUCUCCCCUCUCUGGGCCCCAAGUGACUGAGCCCCAGCUGAGGGAAAAGUGCAACUGCCAACACCAUUAUCAUUAGAAAUACAUUCUAAUAGACACAUAUAUCACAUAAACAUAUUAUUCAAUACCAGCAUUAUAACAUAAUCUUGCAAUUUUCCACAACAAGGUGCCAUUGAGGUAACUUUGAGUAUGAUGAUCUUGGAUCACUAUAUUAUCCAAGUGAAGUAAACCACCUUUUUUUUACCCUGAUCGUGUUUGUUCUUUUGUUCCUUAAUUCAUUCAUCCAGGUGACAGGAUACAGGGGUUUAGUGUCCUGACCUGACAAGAGGUUGUGUUCUUACCCUGACAUUGAUCCCGCCAUCAACAACCUGGCAUCUCACUCUCCAGCUGCUUCCACCACAGGCCCAGUGACAUCUGAGAAAUGAGUUUUUCUCACUUAAAAUUCAACAACUGUUCUGUAAUACCCAAUUGAAUUCGAACCCUGACCUUUGACCCCGGCCACUCCUCUUCCAGUGCCGGGGGUCAGUACAGACCUGUACUGUGGUUGCAGUCCUGGGGGUCAGUGCUGCUGUCUGUCUCCUGGCUGCCCUGAUGGUGGCCUACGGGAGGUACCACUCCUCCAGAGUCAGGGUGCAUGCUGACCAAAUGACUACCGAUGGAAUCAAAUGACUACCGAUGGAAACUGGGACCCUAUUAUGGCCGUGAGAGUUUAUAGCCAGAGCUUCACCUUUGCAGGGGAAGAGAACAAACAAAAUAUAUAUUGUUGUUAUGUUUCUGUUAUUUUGUAUUAUUUUUUAAAGAUUUAUCAACAGCUUUGCCAGUUUGUGCUUUGGCAGUGAGAUUACAGUACAAUACUGAAUACAGUGUUACAUUAAAAUACAUCAUAAAUACAGGCAGUAAAGUAGUAGAGAUUCUCUCUCCUGCCUAUUCUUCAAUCCCUCCAUCCCCCAGGCAACCUCAUCACCAGCUGACUGACAGAGUGGUGCUGGAUCCCAUAACAGGAGAGCAGGCAUGAGUCUUCCAGCUUGGGACUGUGUCCUGUCUUUUGUCCUGCGUCCUGUUUUGUGUGUUUUUGUGUUUGAAUGGUGUAAACUCCCAAAUUUGACUAGUAAACAUAUAUAUUUUAACUGUA